Molecule: long non-coding RNA, 352 nt
Filed under: Physcomitrium patens
Lineage: Eukaryota; Viridiplantae; Streptophyta; Bryopsida; Funariales; Funariaceae
Description: long non-coding RNA (PPAT_LNC012534)
Source: RNAcentral
UCUCGAACUUCGUCAUGCCAAUGGGGUUCCACACCUGCAUGCACUGCACACGGCUGCCAUUCUGGACGGAGCUCAAGCUCUGGGCCUUGCUGGAGAACAAGGUGGAACUCUUGAGGCCGGAGAAGGCCUUCACGGAGGUCGACUCGGAGGUCGACACAGCCGAGGACGAAGCUGCGAAGGCAGCGGGGGCCACGACGGUGGAGGUGGCGACAACGGAAGCCAUUGCAAGCGCUUGGGGUACAAGCGCGGUACUACUGAAACGCUGGAUGGAGGGCAGGAAGACAAAUUGACUGUGGGAUGAGGGAAUGAUGCGGCGCAGGGAGAAUUUUGUAGCAGCAGCGAUGAGGUGCGG